Long non-coding RNA from Pantherophis guttatus, 2048 nucleotides. RefSeq lists it as uncharacterized. The record is from RefSeq and is a predicted model, not a curated record. Lineage: Eukaryota; Metazoa; Chordata; Lepidosauria; Squamata; Colubridae.
UAUUUGUGAGCUUCUGCAAAGUUAUUCUGACCAAGAUGGAGAAAUGCCCUAAAACAUAAGAGUAAGAAGAAGAGAGAAAAUCUUUUCUUGUGCUUCUCAGACUGCACACAGACGUGGCCUCCUGGCAAAUGAGAGACGGCUUCUGUGAUGCCACGAUUCCAGACCCUUUUGUAAAGCCACAGGCUUUUCAAGUGCUAUUGUUCAAGGUUAUGUAAGCAAGCCAAUGGGUUUCUUGGGCUUCGUCUUCCAUUCUAUUGCACUGGAAGGAAAAGAUUCCACUCUGACAGUAAAAACCACUAAUUCAAGAAUGUCCAAUAAUCCCUCUUCCCCCAAGGCCCCUGAUAAGAGCAAGAACUGAGGAAGACCGGAGUCCCUUCAGAGCCUGUUAACACUGUUCUAUGAAUUGGACAGACAGAUUGUUCCUCUGAGACAUCAGGCAGUCUCCUUGUAUCGUACCCAAGGUUGGGAAUCUUGCCUUUCUGCAAACCAGCCUCUGAUGACUCUUAGUAAAGAAAGAGCAGAGUUGGGAAGCCGGCUCCUCUCUUCAGAACAGUCUCCUAAAGGGAAUCUCGUCUAUUUUACUUGAUGGAUUGCAAGUCUGUUCAGCAAUGUAAGAGGACACAAGCGGUUUUUCCAAGAAUGAUUUGACAAAUGUUUUAAUAUUCUGCCUGCGACAGGCUAUUUUCAGUGUGAAUCACCUAAUGAUAAUAUUCUUUUAAUCAAAAGAAGACUGGGUUAGAUUGCUUCUUUAAAAAGAAUCAUUUCUUUCAGCUGACUCCCUGCAAUUGUCCUGAUCCCAAUGCUACAGAUUCCUUAGGUGCAUUUGCUAUCUAACCCAGUUGUAGAGGCUGGAUUUCAUUCUUCAUGGUUUGGGAGCAGGACACUUGAAAGACAACUUCCCUCUGCCUCGAACUCCUCAGCCUCAAGAUCUUCUGAAUUUGCUUCUCAAGACCCUCCAAAGCAGGACUUUCUCAUAGGUCAUACCCAUCACUUAUCUUAGUGUCAUUCUGAUGCCAGGCCAAGUUCUUUUUUAUUUUUCAAGAGCUUUAGUGCUUCAUUCCAAAGUUUUCCUUCAUAACAGUUUUACAAACCAACAGCUUUUGUUACUAUUGUAUACUGAGUGUAUUAUAUAGUGAGUUAAUUUCUAAUUGCCAGCCACCUCCCAGAAUUUAUUACAAGCUGUCUAAUACAUAUUAUUCAGAACCAAAUAUUAAAUUAUUCAAUAAUCAAAUAUUAAAACUCUUCAAUUUAGUUAUAAAAGUGAGGAAACUCUGAAAUAUUGUAAAAUUAUAAAAAUAUCUCAAAGCCUUCUUGGGAGUCUCCACUUGUGAAGAAAAUGGUUGUCCCAUUCCGUUUUUCACAAAGUGACUAAAUUUCAGUGGUAACUUCUUGGAGGUUUAUGGUCUGAUUCAGUGUUACUCCAUUUGUAACUGACUGAUUCAGUGAGUUGUCAGCAGCAAGCUAAAUAUGGCCAAUGUAAGGGGCAAUUAAAUAUCCCUUCUUGUGUUUGUUAUUAUGCUGAAAACAGAAAUUUUCUUUUGGUAUUAAAGUCACAUGGGGAAAAAACAAGAGCAGCAUAGAUUUCAUGCUGAAGACAAAUGCAGCAUUGAUUUUUUCAAAAAGCACCAAUGCCACAGGAAACCAAAAAAUAAAUUUCCCUAUCAAAAAAAUUUACUAUGUUACAAAAAUGGAAGCAGGCAAAGUGAGACAGCACCUCAGGCAACUUAUUGUUAGUAUUUGCUUGUUACUGUACUUUUACAUCAGGAAUGGGAGAAAUGUUAAGGAUUUUCUUCCUUUAUGCGAAAAUAAUUUGGCUGGCUGUGUCAACUACACACAUUGCCUUGAUUAGAUGAUGUGGCUAGGGCUGCUUGUUGCUAAGAGGGCAAAAGGGUCCUUUUCUUUCUCUUGAGAACCACUACAGAGAAUUCGGCAUUGCAAUCUGGGGAAUGAAAAGUUAUUUUCAUGAAUUCCAUAGAAAAUGUGGAGUAUUUAUUACACCCCAUUCAUCUUUCAGUAUUUGUGUGUUUAUGAUAAAGUGGAAAAUAUCA